This 497-nucleotide ribosomal RNA is filed under the name uncultured bacterium. RNAcentral describes it as "partial 16S ribosomal RNA". It matches the Rfam family "Bacterial small subunit ribosomal RNA", at positions 28 to 507 of the family's 1533-position model. The record is from RNAcentral.
GAUGAACGCUGGCGGCGUGCCUAAUACAUGCAAGUCGAGCGAACGGACGAGAAGCUUGCUUCUCUGAUGUUAGCGGCGGACGGGUGAGUAACACGUGGAUAACCUACCUAUAAGACUGGGAUAACUUCGGGAAACCGUAGCUAAUACCGGAUAAUAUUUUGAACCGCAUGGUUCAAAAGUGAAAGACGGUCUUGCUGUCACUUAUAGAUGGAUCCGCGCUGCAUUAGCUAGUUGGUAAGGUAACGGCUUACCAAGGCAACGAUGCAUAGCCGGCCUGAGAGGGUGAUCGGCCACACUGGAACUGGGACACGGUCCAGACUCCUACGGGAGGCAGCAGUAGGGAAUCUUACGCAAUGGGCGAAAGCCUGACGGAGCAACGCCGCGUGAGUGAUGAAGGUCUUCGGAUCGUAAAACUCUGUUAUUAGGGAAGAACAUAUGUGUAAGUAACUGUGCACAUCGUGACGGUACCUAAUCAGAAAGCCACGGCUAACUACGUG